CUUCCAUGAGCCUAAACACCUUCCCUCCGCACGCUCGGUAUCGCGACGGGGGAGAGCAAAACCUUUAAACAAAUGCUCCAGUUUUCCCCGCAGAGAGCCGGAGUCAAAUCCGUGAGGAAGCCCGGGGGUCGCAGUGAAGCCCAACCCACUGGUGCUGGGAUAACCUCGCCCGCAACCCGGAUCCAGGCCGCAGGUCCCCCGAGGCUCCGC
RNAcentral lists this long non-coding RNA (210 nucleotides) under Homo sapiens (human). RNAcentral describes it as "HSALNT0226729". Lineage: Eukaryota; Metazoa; Chordata; Mammalia; Primates; Hominidae. The record is from RNAcentral.